Molecule: ribosomal RNA, 253 nt
Filed under: uncultured bacterium
Lineage: Bacteria
Description: partial 16S ribosomal RNA
Rfam family: Bacterial small subunit ribosomal RNA
Source: RNAcentral
UACGAAGGGGGCUAGCGUUGCUCGGAAUUACUGGGCGUAAAGCGCACGUAGACGGCUUUUUAAGUCGGGGGUGAAAUCCUGGAGCUCAACUCCAGAACUGCCUUCGAUACUGGAAAGCUCGAGUCCGGGAGAGGUGAGUGGAACUGCGAGUGUAGAGGUGAAAUUCGUAGAUAUUCGCAAGAACACCAGUGGCGAAGGCGGCUCACUGGCCCGGUACUGACGCUGAGGUGCGAAAGCGUGGGGAGCAAACAGG